UACGGAGGGAGCUAGCGUUGUUCGGAAUUACUGGGCGUAAAGCGCACGUAGGCGGCUUUGCAAGUUAGAGGUGAAAGCCCGGGGCUCAACCCCGGAAUUGCCUUUAAGACUGCAUCGCUUGAAUCCAGGAGAGGUGAGUGGAAUUCCGAGUGUAGAGGUGAAAUUCGUAGAUAUUCGGAAGAACACCAGUGGCGAAGGCGGCUCACUGGAGCUGGUAUUGACGCUGAGGUGCGAAAGCGUGGGGAGCAAACAGGAUUAGAAACCC
Molecule: ribosomal RNA, 265 nt
Filed under: uncultured bacterium
Lineage: Bacteria
Description: partial 16S ribosomal RNA
Rfam family: Bacterial small subunit ribosomal RNA
Source: RNAcentral